This 393-nucleotide long non-coding RNA is filed under the name Trifolium pratense (red clover). RNAcentral's name for it is "long non-coding RNA (TPRA_LNC012557)". Lineage: Eukaryota; Viridiplantae; Streptophyta; Magnoliopsida; Fabales; Fabaceae. The record is from RNAcentral.
AAAAACUUCUCAAACUCUACCUCUUCUUAAAUGGUGUAAAGAUAAAGAACUGUGCUGGUCUUAAACUGAUGGAUCUAUAUCAUCAUGAUAGAGAAGGAGGAUUUGGGGAUUAAAAGUGCAAGCUUUUUUUUAAAAAAAAAAUAAAAAUCGCAAUUUUUUAACUAUUGUCUGUACUGGAAAUUGAAAAAAAAAAAUUCUGUUUUUUUAUUAAAUAAAUUGGACCGGCCGGUUAGACAAAACCGGCACCGGUUCACUGGUUCAUCCGGUUUUUACCGGUUCGCACCGGUUUUUACGGUUUUUUGAGCGGUUUUGCAGACUGCCGGUUCUGGAAGGCUAGCCGGACCGGUGCUAGGUCCGGUUCUCGGUCGAACCGGUUGGACCGGCCGGUCCGGU